RNAcentral lists this unclassified non-coding RNA (382 nucleotides) under uncultured bacterium. RNAcentral's name for it is "contains 16S-23S intergenic spacer region". The record is from RNAcentral.
UCCGCUUUACAGCGGCAGUCUCGCUAGAGUCCUCGGCUUUACCCGUUAGCAACUAGCGACAGGGGUUGCGCUCGUUAAUGGACUUAACCAAACACUUCACAGCACGAGCUGACGACAGCCAUGCAGCACCUGUGCACGUUGUACCCUUGCGGGCCUUAUCGCUGUUUCCAACGACUAAUCCGUGCAUGUCAAACCCAGGUAAGGUUCUUCGCGUUGCUUCGAAUUAAGCAACAUGCUCCACCGCUUGUGCGGGUCCCCGUCAAUUCCUUUGAGUUUUAACCUUGCGGCCGUACUCCCCAGGCGGUCAACUUCACGCGUUAGCUUCGUUACCAAGGAAUUGCUUCCCCGACAACCAGUUGACAUAUUUUAGGGCGUGGACUAC